RNAcentral lists this ribosomal RNA (1084 nucleotides) under uncultured bacterium. RNAcentral's name for it is "bacterial SSU rRNA". It matches the Rfam family "Bacterial small subunit ribosomal RNA", at positions 451 to 1533 of the family's 1533-position model. The record is from RNAcentral.
GAGUGGAAAGUUCACACUGUGACGGUAGUUUACCAGAAAGGGACGGCUAACUACGUGCCAGCAGCCGCGGUAAUACGUAGGUCCCGAGCGUUGUCCGGAUUUAUUGGGCGUAAAGCGAGCGCAGGCGGUUUGAUAAGUCUGAAGUUAAAGGCUGUGGCUCAACCAUAGUUCGCUUUGGAAACUGUCAAACUUGAGUGCAGAAGGGGAGAGUGGAAUUCCAUGUGUAGCGGUGAAAUGCGUAGAUAUAUGGAGGAACACCGGUGGCGAAAGCGGCUCUCUGGUCUGUAACUGACGCUGAGGCUCGAAAGCGUGGGAGCGAACAGGAUUAGAUACCCUGGUAGUCCACGCCGUAAACGAUGAGUGCUAGGUGUUGGAUCCUUUCCGGGAUUCAGUGCCGCAGCUAACGCAUUAAGCACUCCGCCUGGGGAGUACGACCGCAAGGUUGAAACUCAAAGGAAUUGACGGGGGCCCGCACAAGCGGUGGAGCAUGUGGUUUAAUUCGAAGCAACGCGAAGAACCUUACCAGGUCUUGACAUCCCGAUGCUAUUUCUAGAGAUAGAAAGUUACUUCGGUACAUCGGUGACAGGUGGUGCAUGGUUGUCGUCAGCUCGUGUCGUGAGAUGUUGGGUUAAGUCCCGCAACGAGCGCAACCCCUAUUGUUAGUUGCCAUCAUUCAGUUGGGCACUCUAGCGAGACUGCCGGUAAUAAACCGGAGGAAGGUGGGGAUGACGUCAAAUCAUCAUGCCCCUUAUGACCUGGGCUACACACGUGCUACAAUGGUUGGUACAACGAGUUGCGAGUCGGUGACGGCGAGCUAAUCUCUUAAAGCCAAUCUCAGUUCGGAUUGUAGGCUGCAACUCGCCUACAUGAAGUCGGAAUCGCUAGUAAUCGCGGAUCAGCACGCCGCGGUGAAUACGUUCCCGGGCCUUGUACACACCGCCCGUCACACCACGAGAGUUUGUAACACCCGAAGUCGGUGAGGUAACCUUUUGGAGCCAGCCGCCUAAGGUGGGACAGAUGAUUGGGGUGAAGUCGUAACAAGGUAGCCGUAUCGGAAGGUGCGGCUGGAUCACCUCCUUUCUAA